RNAcentral lists this ribosomal RNA (255 nucleotides) under uncultured bacterium. RNAcentral describes it as "partial 16S ribosomal RNA". It matches the Rfam family "Bacterial small subunit ribosomal RNA", at positions 524 to 776 of the family's 1533-position model. The record is from RNAcentral.
UACAGAGGAGCCAAGCGUUGUCCGGAUUGACUGGGCGUAAAGCGCACGCAGGCGGUCGGGCGCGUGGGGGUGUGAAAUCUGGCCGCUUAACGGCCAGGCGCCAUCCCCAUACGGCACGACUGGAGUGAUGCAGAGGUCGAUGGAAUUGCCGGUGUAGUGGUGAAAUGCGCGGAUAUCGGGAGGAACACCAAUGGCGAAGGCAGCUCGCUGGGACGUUACUGACGCUGAGACGCGAAAGCGUGGGGAGCAAACAGG